GACGAACGCUGGCGGCGUGCUUAACACAUGCAAGUCGAACGGAAAGGCCCUUCUUGUGGUGGGUGCUCGAGUGGCGAACGGGUGAGUAACAAGUGAGUAACCUGCCAUUUACUUUUGGAUAACGUCAGGAAACGGGGGCUAAGAAUAGAUAGGAGCUCCUGCUGCAGGGGGGUGGUUGGAAAGGUUCGGCGGGUGGGGAUGGACGCCCGGCUUAUCAGCUGGUUGGGGGGUGAGUGGCUUACCAGGGCUUUGGCGGGUAGCCGGCGUGGGAGGGUGACCGGCCACAUUGGGCCUGGGAUAGGGCCCAGCCUCCAACGGAGGGCAGCAGUGGGGAUAAUUGACCAUUGGGCGGAAGCUUAAUCAAGCACGCCCGCGUGCGGGAUGCCGGCCUUCGGGUGGUAACCGCCUUCAGCAUGGGCCGAAGUGUGAGUGACGGUACUGGGUAAAGAAGCACCGGCUAACUACGUG
RNAcentral lists this ribosomal RNA (468 nucleotides) under uncultured bacterium. RNAcentral's name for it is "partial 16S ribosomal RNA". It matches the Rfam family "Bacterial small subunit ribosomal RNA", at positions 28 to 507 of the family's 1533-position model. The record is from RNAcentral.